Long non-coding RNA from Sorghum bicolor (sorghum), 2212 nucleotides. RefSeq lists it as uncharacterized. Lineage: Eukaryota; Viridiplantae; Streptophyta; Magnoliopsida; Poales; Poaceae. The transcript has 4 exons. The record is from RefSeq and is a predicted model, not a curated record.
ACACCACAACCUUUAAUCAGCAAUUGACUGCAGUUGCUAAAAGUCAUUAAUCAACAACUAACUGCAGUUACUAAGAGCAACUCCAACAAUUUCUUAUUUUUUGUUUCCCAUAUCUUGAUAUUUGUCAACUCCCCAAAUUAUAUGGGAAAGGAAAAACAAGACCAUCUCCAAUAGUUUCCCAUAAUUCAUUUUCUAAAAACUAAUUUUCUGGACUCACCUAAAAUUUUUCCCGCACUUUCUUUUUCUGCGCCGUCUUCGCGGUCUUUUCUUCGCACCGUCCUCGCCAGGUCGCGCCUCCAGAUCAGGACGCCGUCACCAGGUUCGAAGGUUCGACCCAUCGCCGGUGCUAAUCCCGGCAGGCCGUCCGUGCAUUGUUGUCCAGGAGCAGGUCACAACAAGCCAUCCUCUCAGGUUCGUGCAUGCUAAUCCUGGCAGGCCGUCCGUGCAUCGUUGACUAGGAGCAGGUUAUAACAAGCCAUCCUCUGAGGUUCGUGCAUGCUAAUCACAUGAGCGACUCCUAGAACUCGCGCGGGAAGAAGUGACAGCGCGCGGGAGGACAAUGUGUCGCGAACUCGCGAUGGGAGACGCGAUGCGCGGCUCUGAACGCGCGGAAAUAUGCGCUGGUUCAGAUUGUUUAUGCGACCUCUCCCAAAAUAGGAAACCCAAAUGAGAAAAUAUUGGAGACAUAUUUUUUCUAUUUUUCCUAAAAACCAAGGAUGGGAAGGAGAGAUGGGGAAUUGUUGGAGUUGCUCUAAAGGUUAGAGAUGGACGGUCGGUUGCUAAAACCCACAGCGAUGGAUGGUUCGUUGCUAUAUUUUUUUACUUUUGCGUUGAACGGUCCGUUGCUAUACAUUAGGAACAACAUCCGAUGGUCCGUGGCUAUAGAAAUUUUACAAUGGCGCGCGAUAUUUGAGCCCUUCCCGCUGCAACUUUGGCCCAAAAUGACCUAUACCCUAACUCAACCCAUGUACAAACGCAGGCUUAUCCACUCCAGCGCUCCUCAACCCCACCUCCACCUCUUCCUCUUCCUCCGCCUCCUCCUCGUCCUCCUCCCUCUCCCCUUCCCUUCGGCGGCGGCAGCGGGGCGCCAGGCGACCCCUCGGUGUGCGGCGCGGCUGCCUGGAUGGCCCAAGCGGUGGCUGGCUCUUGCACGACGUGGGAGCGGAGGCGCUCGAGAGCCUCGCUGCUGCCCCCGACCUACCGGAGCAAUCUGCUCCCGGGAUCCUCGCUCCCAAUUUUGACCCUGUGCUGGAGAAACCCUAGCUGGCACCAUCUUGUCGCCGCGACCGGAUCUAGGUGAUGCCCUCUCUCCCUUCCUCCUCCUCCUCCUCCUCCUCCUCCUCCUCCUCCUCCUCCUCCUCCUCUCUCCCCUCGUUGGUCAUUGCCAGCUCCACGUGUUAGGGGACCUGCGCCUUCUCCACUGCGCCUCCACCGACAGUGCCCCCAGCCUUCGGCGCCGCGGCACCCGUGGGCCCUGGCGGUGCCGGUGUACCCGCUGGUGUGGGUGCUCUCUGGCGUGGCCUGCUCUCGCUGGUCCAGCUAUGUUCCUGUGUUCCAAGAAACUCUGGCUUCCUGUCCAUGCCAGCAGAGCGUCAAGGGGCCUCUCCCUUCUCCCGUUCUUCGCUUCAUCUUCCUCAUGCAUUGGCAAGAGCAACGAAUUAAGGUUACCCACUUGCAGACCAUAUUUGAAUCGUCCCGUACGAGCAAACAUCAUUGAAUGAAACAUCCAAGAGCCACCCGUUCUUAGGGUAAAGGAGGUGCCUACAAGAAAUUGACUUUUUCUAGACAUCUACAACAAGCAUAGUAGCUGUCAUUCCUCACUUUGAAGUUGUUGAUCAAAGGAACUUAUGAAAGCUGAAGGUUUGCAGUCAGCAACCAAGAUCUCAGAAGGGGGUUGUUGGUUCUUCUCAGAGAUCUUCUCAAGGCGCUGCAAUAUCAUCUCAUGGACGCUAGGUGGUGAUAGCUUGUUGGAAGAAAGGGUGGAAGGGUGCUGGGAGUAAACUUGAAUGCUUUUGGACUAGGUGCUUUCUUAUGGUGAAUUAGAUGCUUUCUUUGAAUGCUUCUGGACUACAAUCUAUGUUUUAGUUUGUGGACUUGAAUCACUUUUGGUAGAUGAUGACUUAGCUAGAUUAUGUAUUCAGCUAAUCUAUGCAUGCUUGUAUAUUGGCUUGAUGGCACAUGAUUAUAUAUGUACUCAUUUGAUAUGGAUGUA